AUACGGAGGGUGCAAGCGUUAUUCGGAAUCACUGGGCGUAAAGGACGCGUAGGCGGGUUGGCAAAUCAGAUGUGAAAUCCUACAGCUUAACUGUAGAACUGCAUUUGAAACUGCUAACCUAGAGUAUGGGAGGGGGAGAUGGAAUUAGUGGUGUAGGGGUAAAAUCCGUAGAUAUCACUAGGAAUACCGAAAGCGAAGGCGAUCUCCUGGAACAUAACUGACGCUAAGGCGUGAAAGCGUGGGGAGCAAACAGGAUUAGAUACCCUAGUAGUCC
RNAcentral lists this ribosomal RNA (274 nucleotides) under uncultured bacterium. RNAcentral describes it as "partial 16S ribosomal RNA". It matches the Rfam family "Bacterial small subunit ribosomal RNA", at positions 523 to 796 of the family's 1533-position model. The record is from RNAcentral.